AAGAACGGGAUGUGGGAACAUGCGCCAUGGCAUGCGCAGUGAAUGUGUUUGUAGUACAGAAAACAACCCUCUGCACUGCCUCGCCGAACUUUCCACCACAACAGGGAAAGCACUGAUGUUUGGAGGUCAUAUGGUACAGGAAGAAAGGCUUUCGAAAUAUGUCCCCAGGAAGCACGAAGAGGCAGAUUGGGCCUUGAAGAAGCGCCUUUGAAGUAUUGCCUCAGGAAACGAAGGGGUGGGUUGGGCCUGGAACAAGAGCCUUCGAAGCCUCAGGAAACCAAGAGCUUAGUCUGAUCUUUCUAAAAAUGCUUCUAUUAAGCUGAAAACAAAUACACAUAUUCAGUAAACGAUGUUCCUUAUAUUGUGGGUGGAUCGGGCCUGG
Long non-coding RNA from Ornithodoros turicata, 382 nucleotides. RefSeq lists it as uncharacterized. The transcript is spliced from 4 exons. NCBI's taxonomy places the organism in Eukaryota, Metazoa, Arthropoda, Arachnida, Ixodida, Argasidae. The record is from RefSeq and is a predicted model, not a curated record.